CCUACGAGCGGCAGCAGUGAGGAAUAUUGGUCAAUGGACGAGAGUCUGAACCAGCCAAGUAGCGUGAAGGAUGACUGCCCUAUGGUUUGUAAACUUCUUUUAUAAAGGAAUAAAACGAGGCACGUGUGCCUUUUUGCAUGUACUUUAUGACUAAGGAUCGGCUAACUCCUUGCCAGCAGCCGCGGUAAUACGGAGGAUCCGAGGGUUAUCCGGAUUUAUUGGGUUUAAAGGGAGCGUAGAUGGGUUGUUAAGUCAGUUGUGAAAGUUUGCGGCUCAACCGUAAAAUUGCAAUUGAUACUGGGAGUCUUGAGUACAGUUGAGGUAAGCGGAAUUCGUGGUGUAGCGGUGAAAUGCUUAGAUAUUACGAAGAACCCCGAUUGCGAAGGCAGCUUACUAAACUGUGACUGACAUUGAUGCGCGAAAGUGUGGGUAGCAAACAGGAUUAGAUACCCGAGUAGUC
RNAcentral lists this ribosomal RNA (460 nucleotides) under uncultured bacterium. RNAcentral's name for it is "partial 16S ribosomal RNA". It matches the Rfam family "Bacterial small subunit ribosomal RNA", at positions 338 to 795 of the family's 1533-position model. The record is from RNAcentral.